Molecule: long non-coding RNA, 608 nt
Filed under: Homo sapiens (human)
Lineage: Eukaryota; Metazoa; Chordata; Mammalia; Primates; Hominidae
Description: HSALNT0277525
Source: RNAcentral
ACGACAGGCGUGCCCUUGACAGGCAGGGAGGGCUAGGCUGUGCAUCCCUCCGCUCGCAUUGCAGGGAGGAAGCCCUCUCAGGGUCAGUGGCCACCCCUCACUUCCAGAGCCCUGCAGACCCCACAAUGCAGUCCUGGUGGCCUGACUGUAACACCCAACCCAGCCCGGACAAUAUACACCACGAGGAUCUCCUUGACAACCUUUAAUAUCCAGGAUGGACCUGACUUUCAAGACCGAGUGGUCAACAGUGAGACACCAGUGGUUGUGGAUUUCCACGCACAGUGUCAGCGGUGCCCACUGUGCUGGCCAUGAAGAAUGGGGACGUGGUGGACAAGUUUGUGGGCAUCAAGGAUGAGGAUCAGUUGGAGGCCUUCCUGAAGAAGCUGAUUGGCUGACAAGCAGGGAUGAGUCCUGGUUCCCUUGCCCGCGUGGGACCCCAAUAGAACUCAGCCCUUCCAUGCCAGCCCUUCCUGCUGCCUCCCUCCUGUCUGGCUCCUGGGGCCCAUGCUUAGAGCCCAGGCUCCAGCCCUGAGUGCUUCCGAGCUGGCGGACUGCCCAGGGGCCAUCAGAGGAUGGUGGUGCUGCUGCUGAUCCGGGGACCGCUGUCU